RNAcentral lists this long non-coding RNA (830 nucleotides) under Mytilus galloprovincialis (Mediterranean mussel). Lineage: Eukaryota; Metazoa; Mollusca; Bivalvia; Mytilida; Mytilidae. The record is from RNAcentral.
AAACAAUGGUUGCUUGAUGCUUUUACAUCUCCCUCUCGUCCAAUACGUAACAACUGGCGACGAGAACGAACCAUAGCAACAAAGAACAUUACACAAUAUGAAACAAACGUAUAGACAUUGGUAAAAUCGAAGCAAAUACUGAACAUUUGCAUGAUAAUAGCUAAAUACCGAAUUGAUUGUCCCGAUUCUUUGUUCGACUCCACGUGAUUCCAAACAAAGGAAUCUGCGGUACAUCACAUAAAUCAUGCCAGCAUUUGGUUUGAUAGGAAAAAUUGACCCAUUUGAUGAAACAAUUGAACCCUGGGACUCGUAUUUUGAACGAUUAGACCAAUAUUUUGUCGCAAAUGAAAUCGACGGAAACAAAAAGGUUCCUGCCCUACUUUGCCUGAUAGGGGGAAACUAUACUCGUUGUUGAGGGACCUGACAUUUCCUGACAAACCAUCAGAGAAAAGAUUCGACGUAUUAGUCAAGCUAUUAAAGGAUCAUUUAGCUCCCAAACCGCUACAAGCAUCAGAACGAUUCAGAUUUGAUAAAAGGGACCAAAAAGAGGGGGAAUCAAUACAAGACUAUGUUGCACAAUUACGAAAACUCUCACUGCAUUGUGGUUUUAAUGCAGACCUCAAAGAAAAGUUAAGAGACAGGAUAGUUUGUGGCCUUAAAAACCCGAACAUUCGGAACAGGUUAUUGUCAGAAAAAGACUUGACAUAUGAUAAAGCAGUAGAUAUUGGUGUGGCUAUGGAGACCGCAUCCAAAGAUGCAACUAAAUUGCAAGCAAAACAUAGAACUGAGGGGGUAAACAAAAUGAGUGCAAGAAAAUCUAACUUUCAACC